AACGUAGGGUGCAAGCGUUGUCCGGAAUUACUGGGUGUAAAGGGAGCGCAGGCGGACCUGUAAGUUGGGAGUGAAAUACAUGGGCUCAACCCAUGAACUGCUUUCAAAACUAUAGGUCUUGAGUGGUGCAGAGGUAGGCGGAAUUCCCGGUGUAGCGGUGGAAUGCGUAGAUAUCGGGAGGAACACCAGUGGCGAAGGCGGCCUACUGGGCACUAACUGACGCUGAGGCUCGAAAGCAUGGGUAGCAAACAGGAUUAGAUACCCUGGUAGUCCAUGCCGUAAACGAUGAUUACUAGGUGUGGGAGGAUUGACCCCUUCCGUGCCGCAGUUAACACAUUAAGUAAUCCACCUGGGGAGUACGACCGCAAGGUUGAA
Molecule: ribosomal RNA, 375 nt
Filed under: uncultured bacterium
Lineage: Bacteria
Description: bacterial SSU rRNA
Rfam family: Bacterial small subunit ribosomal RNA
Source: RNAcentral